CCGAGCUGGUAAGACGCUUAGAAGGUUUUUCACCUAACCCCUUACCAAAAGCGACUAUUGGGCUUAUGGACGCCUUACCUUUUAAGAACUAGCCUGUACGUGAGGAGAACCUAAUGCCGCCCACGAUCUGUCACCUACUAGGGAGUGCGCUCCUACUUUCCGUUCAAGCCAGCGGUAAUCAAAGGUAAUCUUCAGUAUGAGCACCACGCUCACACUUAAUCCUACAACUCUAACUAGUUGCAGCUAGCUAGAGCUCCUAUACAAGAUAGGACGAUGAUGCACACACAGGAGUGGUUACAGGUCACUAACUUCACUAAGACAACUAUAUUACUAAAGUAAAUGCACAACAAGACUAAAAGACUUGCACUAAGUAAGAACUCAGUAAAGUAAAGUAAGAAUAAUAUAUUAAUAAAAGGAAAGUCUUACAAAAGUAGAAAGGUACAAGAGCUAUACCAGACUCUCCAGAAGACGACUCCGGAGACCCCGAGCUUCGCUCGACUCGACUCUAACUCCCACUCUAGACUAACUACUACUCUACUUGUAUGCUUGGAACUUGUAAUGCACUUGGCCUUGGAAUUGCACACUUGAAAUGAAGGAUGGAGGCUGCCUUUUAUAGAGGGAGAUGGAGUAGGGGUUACUCCAUCGCCACGUCAUCGAUCCGCGUGACAUCUUCUCUCCACCCUUGGAUCAAACCGACCUCACAACCGCCAUUUGAUCAACGGCAGGGGUAAAUCAACAUGUGGGACAUGUGGGGAAGGUCGGUGGGAGGCCACCGACCCUGGAACCGCCUUUGAUGUGGGGUCGGGCGACCCCACUUCUGGGCCUCUGGGCCCACCAGCAGUGUCCACAGGGGUCCCUUAUGUCGGUGGACUAGGUGGCACACCUGGGUCCCACCAAAGAGGGGUCGGGCGACCCCCUCCCUGUGGGCCCAGGGUGUCACCUGUUGUCCCCUCGAUCUCCUCUUGAUGAUUCUGAUGUUGGCUUUGUCAAAUAAUGUCUUGAAUUUGUUGUUCCUGCAUAAACAAGCUAAGAGUACAAGUGGAACUAGUUAUGGAUAAAAUAUGUUCAUGUCAUGUCGUUUCCCCUUGCAACUGAGGCAUGUUGACGGUGUUUUGUAUGUGGAUUUCUAUGAUAUAUCCACCGUCAACAAGAUCCCCCAAGCUUAACCUUUGCUCGUCCCGAGCAAACAAUCAAACUUAGCCUCGGUGGAUCAGGUAUUGUUACUAUGUUCACAUUUCAAGAGUACCAUGUGUACAACAAAGUUCUUCUCUUUGCAUGAAAAAUUUAGCUAUGUAAACUUACCCCUAUUACCUUAGUCCCUUAUGGGGCUUAUGGCUUUUCCUUUGUCUUAGGUGGUUGAGAGACAGAACAGUUUGACUUGAGCACUAACUUUCUCAUUCUUAGCAAGUUUCAUAUCAGAGGUUUUGUGAUAUUUUCAAAAGAAAGCUUAAAUGUUCCUCUUAUGGUUCUCUCAUGUCACUCAAAUGGUGUAUGAUUCCUCACCAAGGCAUAUGGUAAGAGUUGCCUUCUCUAUUUCAUCCUAUUUCUAAAAGGCUUAUGUGGAGUUCAAGGUAGGGAUGAAAGGAGAUAGCAUACUUACUUUGCAUGUAUUGCGAAGUCAAAGCUCGGGUCCUUGAAGAGAAGUGUCAUACUCCCAGAUCAAGAUGUGCAAGUGUGAUAUAUGGUGGACUAGGUUGCUCCUUUAUUUGAUAGACUCUCUAUGUAUUGAGACAUGGCUAGCAUUUUUUUUCUUUUUUUUUAUAUAUAUGAGCUUUCAUGUGCUCAAUUUUCUUUUUCUGUGGACUUGCACAUGUCCAUCUUUUUAUUUCAUUUUGCCUAGCCUUUUGAUGUCUCAUUUACCAAAUAAUGCUUAGAGAGAUGUUCUAACAUUUAGAGUAUGGAGCAACCUAUUUAGUGGAUGCGAAAUACAUGUGGUUGCGUACUUCCAGUGUAGAAGCAGCAUAUAUAUAUGUGGUGUGUACGUGAUCUUGAUCUUAGGAGCAUGAAAAGUCUCUUAACAAGGGUCAACAAGACUUGACGACACUCAACACAAAGCAAAUAGCUUAUGUGGAAAGGUUGCAAUUAUGUAAAGUAGAUAUGGCUGUGGUAGGAAUUCAUCACCAUUGAGGAACAAUUAAGGUUUUGAUCAUUUUAAGAAUAAAUCUCUGAUAAUCAUGCAUGCUUAGAAAAAUAUUAUAGUAGCUCUUGUCUUACUAUCUCAUGUCCC
Molecule: long non-coding RNA, 2227 nt
Filed under: Sorghum bicolor (sorghum)
Lineage: Eukaryota; Viridiplantae; Streptophyta; Magnoliopsida; Poales; Poaceae
Description: long non-coding RNA (SBIC_LNC000723)
Source: RNAcentral